AUUUUUUUUUAUUUUUUGGCAUAUGAAAAUUUAUUACUAUUGUGCUUUCACCAUCAAAACUUAUGAUCUUGGUCUUUCCUUCUUGCCUUUGUAUAAAGCCAAAAGAGAGACGUUGGCUACUUUGACCACCUUAAAGCAGACUCCAGGAAUCUGAAGAGCACAAGUCUGAACUU
Molecule: non-coding RNA, 173 nt
Organism: Vicugna pacos (alpaca)
Lineage: Eukaryota; Metazoa; Chordata; Mammalia; Artiodactyla; Camelidae
Source: RefSeq, a predicted model, not a curated record